CCUACGGGAGGCAGCAGUGGGGAAUUUUGGACAAUGGGCGAAAGCCUGAUCCAGCCAUGCCGCGUGCGGGAAGAAGGCCUUCGGGUUGUAAACCGCUUUAGUCCGGGAAAAAGGGGUGCGAGGAUAAUACCCUCGUGCUUUGAUGGUACUGGAAGAAUAAGCACCGGCUAACUACGUGCCAGCAGCCGCGGUAAU
Molecule: ribosomal RNA, 195 nt
Filed under: uncultured bacterium
Lineage: Bacteria
Description: partial 16S ribosomal RNA
Rfam family: Bacterial small subunit ribosomal RNA
Source: RNAcentral